This is a long non-coding RNA of Oncorhynchus keta (chum salmon), 757 nucleotides long. RefSeq lists it as uncharacterized. The record is from RefSeq and is a predicted model, not a curated record. The transcript has 2 exons. Lineage: Eukaryota; Metazoa; Chordata; Actinopteri; Salmoniformes; Salmonidae.
CUGUGUGAGGCCUCUAUACUGCCUGGAGGAUAAACAGCCCAUCUGUUUGGUGUGUCAAUCAGAAGAGGCUGGUGGGAGGAGCUAUAGGAGGACUGGUUUAUUGUAAGGGUUGGAGUGGAAUAAAUGGACUGGAGUCUAACAUGUGGUUUCCAUAUGUUUGAUACCAUUCCAUUUCAGCCUACAAUGCCUCCUGGCAGCCACAGUCAUUUUCUGUGGAUUAUUUGGCUGCUCUUACAAGGCAGGAAAGACAACGGAAAAAGAAACCAAAUGUUUACAGAUUCAAGUCAGAAAAGCAAAGAAACCUUUUUGCCCAUCAACACCUGAACACAGACAGCUGUCAGUACAGGGUCUGCUACGAUAAUUUCAUCACUGGCUCACCAGAUGACCUCUAUCAAGACACCCAUGUUGACUGGAUUCCCCCUGUGAAGAUGAGCAAUGCAGCAGCAGCAUCAGUUUCUACUUCUACUUUGUCCUUUUCCAGAUAUGAAAGGAAACAUCCCUCAGUUAUACGAGAUGGUUGUCACAUGAUUCUGUGCCAUUUGAGUAGAAAGCACCAUCACCUUGUUGUCAUGACAAAAGUACCACCUUAAACAAUAUGAAUAUAUAAAAUGUAAUCUGGAACAUGUAAAAUACUAUUGUUUAUGAUAUUGUAAACAUACUAUACUUUAAUAAUAGGCUAUAAUAUUGUAUGGGUGAAAUGAAAAGGAUUGUCAUCUCUGCUUUGCCUAGCCCCAUUGAAUAAAAAAUAUUUCUUAUA